GGGUUGUGAGGUUAAGCGACUAAGCGUACACGGUGGAUGCCCUGGCAGUCAGAGGCGAUGAAGGACGUGCUAAUCUGCGAUAAGCGCCGGUAAGGUGAUAUGAACCGUUAUAACCGGCGAUUUCCGAAUGGGGAAACCCAGUGUGAUUCGUCACACUAUCAUUAACUGAAUCCAUAGGUUAAUGAGGCGAACCGGGGGAACUGAAACAUCUAAGUACCCCGAGGAAAAGAAAUCAACCGAGAUUCCCCCAGUAGCGGCGAGCGAACGGGGAGGAGCCCAGAGCCUGAAUCAGCAUGUGUGUUAGUGGAAGCGUCUGGAAAGGCGCGCGAUACAGGGUGACAGCCCCGUACACAAAAGCGCAUGUGCUGUGAGCUCGAUGAGUAGGGCGGGACACGUGGUAUCCUGUCUGAAUAUGGGGGGACCAUCCUCCAAGGCUAAAUACUCCUGACUGACCGAUAGUGAACCAGUACCGUGAGGGAAAGGCGAAAAGAACCCCGGCGAGGGGAGUGAAAAAGAACCUGAAACCGUGUACGUACAAGCAGUGGGAGCACCCUUCGGGGUGUGACUGCGUACCUUUUGUAUAAUGGGUCAGCGACUUAUAUUCUGUAGCAAGGUUAACCGUAUAGGGGAGCCGGAGGGAAACCGAGUCUUAAUUGGGCGUUAAGUUGCAGGGUAUAGACCCGAAACCCGGUGAUCUAGCCAUGGGCAGGUUGAAGGUUGGGUAACACUAACUGGAGGACCGAACCGACUAAUGUUGAAAAAUUAGCGGAUGACCUGUGGCUGGGGGUGAAAGGCCAAUCAAACCGGGAGAUAGCUGGUUCUCCCCGAAAGCUAUUUAGGUAGCGCCUCGUGAAUUCAUCUCCGGGGGUAGAGCACUGUUUCGGCUAGGGGGCCAUCCCGGCUUACCAACCCGAUGCAAACUGCGAAUACCGGAGAAUGUUAUCACGGGAGACACACGGCGGGUGCUAACGUCCGUCGUGAAGAGGGAAACAACCCAGACCGCCAGCUAAGGUCCCAAAGUCAUGGUUAAGUGGGAAACGAUGUGGGAAGGCCCAGACAGCCAGGAUGUUGGCUUAGAAGCAGCCAUCAUUUAAAGAAAGCGUAAUAGCUCACUGGUCGAGUCGGCCUGCGCGGAAGAUGUAACGGGGCUAAACCAUGCACCGAAGCUGCGGCAGCGAACGUAUCACCCAAGACAACUUUACGGAGUUGACGAUUGACGGAGCGAAGCGACGUCAAAGCGUUCAUUAAAGUCGAGUUGGCUUAGGGAUACGUUCGUUGGGUAGGGGAGCGUUCUGUAAGCCUGUGAAGGUGUGUCGUGAGGCAUGCUGGAGGUAUCAGAAGUGCGAAUGCUGACAUAAGUAACGAUAAAGCGGGUGAAAAGCCCGCUCGCCGGAAGACCAAGGGUUCCUGUCCAACGUUAAUCGGGGCAGGGUGAGUCGACCCCUAAGGCGAGGCCGAAAGGCGUAGUCGAUGGGAAACGGGUUAAUAUUCCCGUACUUGGUGUUACUGCGAAGGGGGGACGGAGAAGGCUAUGUUGGCCGGGCGACGGUUGUCCCGGUUUAAGCGUGUAGGUGUGUGUUCCAGGUAAAUCCGGUUCACUUUAACACUGAGGCGUGACGACGAGGCACUACGGUGCUGAAGCAACAAAUGCCCUGCUUCCAGGAAAAGCCUCUAAGCAUCAGGUAACACGAAAUCGUACCCCAAACCGACACAGGUGGUCAGGUAGAGAAUACCAAGGCGCUUGAGAGAACUCGGGUGAAGGAACUAGGCAAAAUGGUGCCGUAACUUCGGGAGAAGGCACGCUGACACGUAGGUGAAGUGAUUUACUCAUGGAGCUGAAGUCAGUCGAAGAUACCAGCUGGCUGCAACUGUUUAUUAAAAACACAGCACUGUGCAAACACGAAAGUGGACGUAUACGGUGUGACGCCUGCCCGGUGCCGGAAGGUUAAUUGAUGGGGUCAGCGCAAGCGAAGCUCCUGAUCGAAGCCCCGGUAAACGGCGGCCGUAACUAUAACGGUCCUAAGGUAGCGAAAUUCCUUGUCGGGUAAGUUCCGACCUGCACGAAUGGCGUAAUGAUGGCCAGGCUGUCUCCACCCGAGACUCAGUGAAAUUGAACUCGCUGUGAAGAUGCAGUGUACCCGCGGCAAGACGGAAAGACCCCGUGAACCUUUACUAUAGCUUGACACUGAACAUUGAGCCUUGAUGUGUAGGAUAGGUGGGAGGCUUUGAAGUGUGGACGCCAGUCUGCAUGGAGCCGACCUUGAAAUACCACCCUUUAAUGUUUGAUGUUCUAACGUGGACCCGUAAUCCGGGUUGCGGACAGUGUCUGGUGGGUAGUUUGACUGGGGCGGUCUCCUCCUAAAGAGUAACGGAGGAGCACGAAGGUUGGCUAAUCCUGGUCGGACAUCAGGAGGUUAGUGCAAUGGCAUAAGCCAGCUUGACUGCGAGCGUGACGGCGCGAGCAGGUGCGAAAGCAGGUCAUAGUGAUCCGGUGGUUCUGAAUGGAAGGGCCAUCGCUCAACGGAUAAAAGGUACUCCGGGGAUAACAGGCUGAUACCGCCCAAGAGUUCAUAUCGACGGCGGUGUUUGGCACCUCGAUGUCGGCUCAUCACAUCCUGGGGCUGAAGUAGGUCCCAAGGGUAUGGCUGUUCGCCAUUUAAAGUGGUACGCGAGCUGGGUUUAGAACGUCGUGAGACAGUUCGGUCCCUAUCUGCCGUGGGCGCUGGAGAACUGAGGGGGGCUGCUCCUAGUACGAGAGGACCGGAGUGGACGCAUCACUGGUGUUCGGGUUGUCAUGCCAAUGGCACUGCCCGGUAGCUAAAUGCGGAAGAGAUAAGUGCUGAAAGCAUCUAAGCACGAAACUUGCCCCGAGAUGAGUUCUCCCUGAGACUUAGAGUCUCCUGAAGGAACGUUGAAGACGACGACGUUGAUAGGCCGGGUGUGUAAGCGCAGCGAUGCGUUGAGCUAACCGGUACUAAUGAACCGUGAGGCUUAACCUUACAACGCCGAAG
This 3011-nucleotide ribosomal RNA is filed under the name Salmonella enterica subsp. enterica. Its description in RNAcentral is "bacterial LSU rRNA". It matches the Rfam family "Bacterial large subunit ribosomal RNA". Lineage: Bacteria; Pseudomonadati; Pseudomonadota; Gammaproteobacteria; Enterobacterales; Enterobacteriaceae. RNAcentral also lists the same sequence under 6 other names. The record is from RNAcentral.